Long non-coding RNA from Etheostoma cragini (Arkansas darter), 125 nucleotides. RefSeq lists it as uncharacterized. The transcript has 3 exons. Lineage: Eukaryota; Metazoa; Chordata; Actinopteri; Perciformes; Percidae. The record is from RefSeq and is a predicted model, not a curated record.
UAUUAUUGUCCAUUUAGAGAUGUUCCAAUACCGAUACCACUAUCGGUAUCGCCUCAGAUGCUGCCUAAAACGCUGUUAUCGGUAUUGGGAAAUACUGGAGUUCAUUCACCGAUCCAACACCAUGU